UGGGGGAAUAUUGCACAAUGGGCGCAAGCCUGAUGCAGCCAUGCCGCGUGUAUGAAGAAGGCCUUCGGGUUGUAAAGUACUUUCAGUCGGGAGGAAGGUGGUAAGGUUAAUAACCUUAUCAAUUGACGUUACCGACAGAAGAAGCACCGGCUAACUCCGUGCCAGCAGCCGCGGUAAUACGGAGGGUGCAAGCGUUAAUCGGAAUUACUGGGCGUAAAGCGCACGCAGGCGGUUGAUUGAGUCAGAUGUGAAAUCCCCGGGCUUAACCCGGGAAUUGCAUCUGAUACUGGUCAGCUAGAGUCUUGUAGAGGGGGGUAGAAUUCCAUGUGUAGCGGUGAAAUGCGUAGAGAUGUGGAGGAAUACCGGUGGCGAAGGCGGCCCCCUGGACAAAGACUGACGCUCAGGUGCGAAAGCGUGGGGAGCAAACAGGAUUAGAUAAGGG
Molecule: ribosomal RNA, 442 nt
Filed under: Morganella morganii
Lineage: Bacteria; Pseudomonadati; Pseudomonadota; Gammaproteobacteria; Enterobacterales; Morganellaceae
Description: bacterial SSU rRNA
Rfam family: Bacterial small subunit ribosomal RNA
Source: RNAcentral